GAUGAACGCUGGCGGCGUGCCUAAUACGUGCAAGUCGAGCGGACGCACGGGAAGCUCGUUCCUUUGCUGUUAGCGGCGGGCGGGCGGGUAAGACGUGGAUAACCAUCCUCUUUUUCUGGGGUGACUACGGGAAGCCGCUUCUAAUACUGGCUGAUAUGUUCUACGGCAUGGUUCAAAAGUGAAUGAGGGUCUUGCCGUCACUUAUAGCUGGAUUCGCGCUGCAUUAGCUAGUUGGUAAGGUAACGGCUUACCAAGGCAACGAUGCAUAGCCGACCUGAGAGGGUGAUCAGCCACACUGGAACUGAGACACGGUCCAGACUCCUACGGGAGGCAGCAGUGGGGAAUCUUGCGCAAUGGGCGAAAGCCUGACGGAGCAACGCCGCGUGAGUGAUGAAGGUCUUCGGGUCGUAAAGCUCUGUUGUUGGGAAAGAACAGAUGCAGGUGAAUAUGUGGACGUCUUGACGGUACCUAAACAAAAAGCCCCGGCUAACUUCGUG
Molecule: ribosomal RNA, 497 nt
Filed under: uncultured bacterium
Lineage: Bacteria
Description: partial 16S ribosomal RNA
Rfam family: Bacterial small subunit ribosomal RNA
Source: RNAcentral